RNAcentral lists this ribosomal RNA (697 nucleotides) under uncultured bacterium. RNAcentral's name for it is "bacterial SSU rRNA". It matches the Rfam family "Bacterial small subunit ribosomal RNA", at positions 79 to 772 of the family's 1533-position model. The record is from RNAcentral.
CUUGCUUCUCUUGAGAGCGGCGGACGGGUGAGUAAUGCCUAGGAAUCUGCCUGGUAGUGGGGGAUAACGUCCGGAAACGGACGCUAAUACCGCAUACGUCCUACGGGAGAAAGCAGGGGACCUUCGGGCCUUGCGCUAUCAGAUGAGCCUAGGUCGGAUUAGCUAGUUGGUGGGGUAAUGGCUCACCAAGGCGACGAUCCGUAACUGGUCUGAGAGGAUGAUCAGUCACACUGGAACUGAGACACGGUCCAGACUCCUACGGGAGGCAGCAGUGGGGAAUAUUGGACAAUGGGCGAAAGCCUGAUCCAGCCAUGCCGCGUGUGUGAAGAAGGUCUUCGGAUUGUAAAGCACUUUAAGUUGGGAGGAAGGGCAGUAAAUUAAUACUUUGCUGUUUUGACGUUACCGACAGAAUAAGCACCGGCUAACUCUGUGCCAGCAGCCGCGGUAAUACAGAGGGUGCAAGCGUUAAUCGGAAUUACUGGGCGUAAAGCGCGCGUAGGUGGUUCGUUAAGUUGGAUGUGAAAUCCCCGGGCUCAACCUGGGAACUGCAUUCAAAACUGACGAGCUAGAGUAUGGUAGAGGGUGGUGGAAUUUCCUGUGUAGCGGUGAAAUGCGUAGAUAUAGGAAGGAACACCAGUGGCGAAAGCGACCACCUGGACUGAUACUGACACUGAGGUGCGAAAGCGUGGGGAGCAAA